UGAUAGCUGUGAAGCGUGAGGUUGCUGCCCAAGAGGCAGGUUUUCCGUGGAGCGAAUGUCAAGUUAGGAAACUGGCGACAA
Molecule: non-coding RNA, 81 nt
Organism: Hungatella hathewayi 12489931
Lineage: Bacteria; Bacillati; Bacillota; Clostridia; Lachnospirales; Lachnospiraceae
Source: Rfam